AUCUCAAAUGAUUUCCACUAAAAGGAUUUUGGUUAAGGGGGUAUAGAAUUUGAACUUUGGUUUUACCAAGAGAAUAAACCGGUUUCAUAUUACACACUUGUAAUCUAUGACAUGACAUUAGAUAUAAUCUUACAUGAUAAGGGGUCAACAGUAAUUUUAUAUUAGUAUGUACUCGUAAGAAUACAACAUAUAUGAUUUCUGCAAACUCUAAGUAAAUUUCUAAUCCGAGUACAAAGAGAUGUAUUGUAGUUAUGAUGAAUUUUAUAUUACACUGUGAUAUUUUUAUGGUUUAGGUAUGUUGUAUCUGGGUUCUAAUUCAUAAUGCAGCAGUUAACAGCAAUGAAUGAUAAAGCGGCAAAUAAAUGCUAAAAACAUAUACGAUUGGUUAAGGGAAGAUUUGAUGUUUGGUUAAAUAAAACAAUUGAAUUUAGGAGGGUUGGUUUUAGUAUAAGCAUUGGUUUAGGCCAGUGGCAAUCUUUUGUAAAUAUUAGGAAAAAAUCUUUCCCAUAUCUCAAAUGAUUUCCACUAAAAGGAUUUUGGUUAAGGGGGUAUAGAAUUUGAACUUUGGUUUUACCAAGAGAAUAAACCGGUUUCAUAUUACACACUUGUAAUCUAUGACAUGACAUUAGAUAUAAUCUUACAUGAUAAGGGCUCAACAGUUAUUUUUAUAUUAGUAUGUACUCGUAAGAAUAUAACAUAUAUGGUUUCUGCAAACUCUAAGUAAAUUUCUAAUCCGAGUACAAAGAGAUGUAUUGUAGUUAUGAUGAAUUUUAUAUUACACUGUGAUAUUUUUAUGGUUUAGGUAUGCUGUAUCUGGGUUCUAAUUCAUAAUGCAGCAGUUAACAGCAAUGAAUGAUAAAGCUGCAAAUAAAUGCUAAAAACAUAUACGAUUGGUUAAGGGAAGAUUUGAUGUUUGGUUAAAUAAAACAAUUGAAUUUAGGAGGGUUGGUUUUAGUGUAAGCAUUGGUUUAGGCCAGUGGCAAUCUUUUGUAAAUAUUAGGAAAAAGUCAGGGUUAAUUCAUUUUUGUACUCCUGUUUUAAUAGAUUAGAUUGAAUUUAGGAGGGUUGGUUUUAGUGUAAGCAUUGGUUUAGGCCAGUGGCAAUCUUUUGUAAAUAUUAGGAAAAAGUCAGGGUUAAUUCAUUUUUGUACACCUGUUUUAAUAGAUUAGAUAUGAAAUGUAAUGAUUGUAGUUUCCUUGGAUAUGUAAAAGGGCUGUUUUAAUUUCUCUCUUUUCAUGUUCUUUCACUGUCUCUAUGAAUAAUCUCAGCAGCUUGUGAUCAUUACUUAUGAAACGAACCACAUAGUUUUGCUAAAAGCAAUUAACAUCUGCACAAAUAGCAGACGAACAAAAACAUUGUUGUUGAAGGAAUAACAACUACACAUAGGGAUUAAUGUCAAACACAUCUCAAAAUAAUAUCUAAGUCAUAAGUUUACCCACCUAGUACUUUCAUUUUAUUUUCAUGUCUUCGUAAAAAAUAUCCUUGAAAUCAUACAAAUACAAACAAAAAUAUACAUACGUGAUACAUGUGUAUAUCUACGGGUGUAACGACAAUUCCCGUCAGGAAAAAGAGAGAGGGGAGAGGUGUUCUUUUUUCUUUUUCAAUCUUUUCCUUUUUCAUAUAAAGUGUACAAAAC
RNAcentral lists this long non-coding RNA (1636 nucleotides) under Brassica napus (rape). RNAcentral's name for it is "long non-coding RNA (BNAP_LNC016951)". Lineage: Eukaryota; Viridiplantae; Streptophyta; Magnoliopsida; Brassicales; Brassicaceae. The record is from RNAcentral.